This 72-nucleotide transfer RNA is filed under the name Phlebopus portentosus. Its description in RNAcentral is "tRNA-Ala (TGC) (tRNA-Ala-TGC-2-1)". It matches the Rfam family "tRNA". Rfam says of the family: Transfer RNA (tRNA) molecules are approximately 80 nucleotides in length. Their secondary structure includes four short double-helical elements and three loops (D, anti-codon, and T loops). Further hydrogen bonds mediate the characteristic L-shaped molecular structure. tRNAs have two regions of fundamental functional importance: the anti-codon, which is responsible for specific mRNA codon recognition, and the 3' end, to which the tRNAs corresponding amino acid is attached (by aminoacyl-tRNA synthetases). tRNAs cope with the degeneracy of the genetic code in two manners: having more than one tRNA (with a specific anti-codon) for a particular amino acid; and 'wobble' base-pairing, i.e. permitting non-standard base-pairing at the 3rd anti-codon position. Lineage: Eukaryota; Fungi; Basidiomycota; Agaricomycetes; Boletales; Boletinellaceae. The record is from RNAcentral.
GGGUGCAUAGCGCAGUGGUAGCGCGCAUGCUUUGCAUGUAUGAGGUCCAGGGUUCAAUCCCCUGUGCAUCCA